UAGAGUUUGAUCAUNGCUCAGAUUGAACGCUGGCGGCAUGCCUUACACAUGCAAGUCGAACGGCAGCACGGGAGCAAUCCUGGUGGCGAGUGGCGAACGGGUGAGUAAUACAUCGGAACGUGCCCUGUAGUGGGGGAUAACUAGUCGAAAGACUAGCUAAUACCGCAUACGACCUGAGGGUGAAAGUGGGGGACCGCAAGGCCUCAUGCUAUAGGAGCGGCCGAUGUCUGAUUAGCUAGUUGGUGGGGUAAAGGCCUACCAAGGCGACGAUCAGUAGCUGGUCUGAGAGGACGAUCAGCCACACUGGGACUGAGACACGGCCCAGACUCCUACGGGAGGCAGCAGUGGGGAAUUUUGGACAAUGGGGGCAACCCUGAUCCAGCAAUGCCGCGUGUGUGAAGAAGGCCUUCGGGUUGUAAAGCACUUUUGUCCGGGAAGAAAUCGCACCUGAUAAUACCGGGUGUGGAUGACGGUACCGGAAGAAUAAGGACCGGCUAACUACGUGCCAGCAGCCGCGGUAAUACGUAGGGUCCAAGCGUUAAUCGGAAUUACUGGGCGUAAAGCGUGCGCAGGCGGUUGUGCAAGACCGAUGUGAAAUCCCCGGGCUUAACCUGGGAAUUGCAUUGGUGACUGCACGGCUAGAGUGUGUCAGAGGGGGGUAGAAUUCCACGUGUAGCAGUGAAAUGCGUAGAGAUGUGGAGGAAUACCGAUGGCGAAGGCAGCCCCCUGGGAUAACACUGACGCUCAUGCACGAAAGCGUGGGGAGCAAACAGGAUUAGAUACCCUGGUAGUCCACGCCCUAAACGAUGUCAACUAGUUGUUGGGGAUUCAUUUCCUUAGUAACGUAGCUAACGCGUGAAGUUGACCGCCUGGGGAGUACGGUCGCAAGAUUAAAACUCAAAGGAAUUGACGG
Molecule: ribosomal RNA, 913 nt
Filed under: uncultured bacterium
Lineage: Bacteria
Description: bacterial SSU rRNA
Rfam family: Bacterial small subunit ribosomal RNA
Source: RNAcentral